GUCCACUUAUAUGUUCCACCCACCCAUGAGUUCGCUCACAGGGAGUGGAGUGUGUAGGGGAUGUGUUAUGUGUUAUUGUGGAGGAUCUAAUAUGUGUGCUUAUGGUAUUUAGUGUAUAGGGUAACCAGUUUGUGUAGGUGAUGCAGUGUGUUUGUGUGUAGUAGAAGCAGUGUGUAUUUGUGUAUAAGGGAUGUAUUAUGUGUUUCUGGUUGUGUGUAAGGGAUACAUUGUGUGAAUCUGUGUUUGUAUGCAUAAGGGAUGCAAUGUGUGUGUCUGUAUGUGUGUGCAUUGAGUGUAAGAGAUGCAUUGUGUUUCUGUGUGUGUG
Molecule: long non-coding RNA, 325 nt
Filed under: Pelobates cultripes (western spadefoot toad)
Lineage: Eukaryota; Metazoa; Chordata; Amphibia; Anura; Pelobatidae
Source: RNAcentral